UACUCUUCCACUCUCAUUUCUUCUCUGUCUCUAGUCCUACUUCCUUAUAAAUCCACCCUAGAUUACUGAUGUCCUACUGAGUACAUUCUAUGUCAUCAAUAUGAUCAUGGGUUUGGAAUUCCCCCCUGAGCCUGGUGGGCUCACUUACUACUGGGUACAAGUUGAAUGUUGUACCUAUGACCUUUACCAGAAUCUGUUAGUUUCCAAACAGCUCAGGAAUAAUUGGUAGGAUCCUGGACUCCCCACCCACUCUCAACAAAACAGGCCAAGCCAGUUUCAAGUCAGCCCAGUGUCAGGAAGAACAGCUGCUGGGUCAUGAUUGCCAAGGUCAAGCAACCCUCUGGAAAAUGUGAAGGCUGGGAAUGUCCCUCUACACAAUGAGAAGUCCCACGCAAGCAUCAGGGGGAGGUUGAGUAGCACACCCUGCAGAAGACAGCUGAGCUGGCGCUUUCCAGGCACAGCAGAGAAGCGUUGCAGCAGUUCCCAGAAGGAGAUCAUUGGAAGGGGCUAGAUGACUGAAGUUGUCGCUGAUUGCAGAAGUAGGCAUUUUGGAUAGUUUUGUUGGAGGCAUUGGAUGUCCCUAAGGAAGCCAGGCUCUCUAUCCUAUUCCAGUAAACCCACCUCUUGGGCUUCUAGCAAUUGCCUUACUGCAAGCUCACAUUUUGGAAAAUCCCUCUUUAUUGGUUGAGUUAGGUGCAAUAACUUGAAGUUUAAAUCCUCAUGUUCUUGUGUGAGAUAGCCAGCACAGAUCUAAAUUUGAAUAACCAUGGUAGAGGAUGUAUCGGGAAUCCUGUUUAUCUGAUCUGGCAUUGAUUCACAUGCCUAUUGGUGUUCUGACACAGUUACCUAAAAGUGACAAGAGUCACAGCUCCAUAGGUAGCCACUGCCUUUGCUGGUAGCCUGAGAUGGUUGAUAUCAGACUAGUCCCAGGAAAAUGAGUGACUUAUGCAAUCUGUUUUAGAAAUGGCUUGUAUGAUUCACCCUUUCAAAUUUUGCCUGAGAAGAUUUUUAAGAAGUUUAAGUUUGUUAGUUGUUUUCGAGGCUUAAGAAAAUGUAAUGAGGGCUGGAGUGGUGGUUCAGUGGUUAAGAGCACUGAUUUUAUUCCAGAGGUCCUGAGUUCAAUUCCCAGCAACCACAUGGUGUCUCACAACCAUCUAUAAUGGGAUCUGAUACCUUCUUCUGGUGUCUGAAGACAACAACAGUGUACUCAUAUACUUAAAGUAAAUAAAUAAAUCUUUAAAAAAUGAAAAUGGAAUGAGGCUUAGGAAGAAUGAUGGUAUAUUGCUAAUAGCCAUUCUUGGGGAGAGACAUUGGAAUGCUCUAGAUGGGAUUAGCAGGUAGCUUGAGGUCCAUCUCAUUGCAAUCUGGAUUCAGACAUCCUUAACAUGCCUCCAGUGCAGCUGAGUUCUGGACCAUCACUUAGCAUCUGGAUACUUCUGAUCUGGUCUCAAGUAGAAUAGGUGAUAGUCAGAUUAGUGUUCUCACCAUAGUAAAUAAGACAGUACAAAACUGUCACCAUGUUUCAAAUGUCUACAUCCAGACCUGAAGUCCUAAAGGUGCCUGUGUACAGCAGAGGGGUGGGAUGAUCCUGGGGAAUUCUAAAAUCCAUUCACUCAGCUCUGUGCAGCAAACUUGAGCACCCAGGUUAGAGAUCCCUUGUGUACUGCUUCAGCAUGCAAAUUUGUAAAUAUAUUUGAGUAACUGUCCCUAUUGUCUUCAGAUUACAUGCUCUCUUUGUGUCAGAGGUGGUACAAAGGGUUAAGACUUAUUCUUGGGGCUAGAGAGGUGGCUCAGCAGUUAAGAGCACUGACUGCUCUUCCAAAGGUCCUGAGUUCAAAUUCCAUCAACUACAUGGUGGCUCACAACCAUCUGUAAUGAGAUCUGACUCACUCUUCUGGUGUGUCUGAAGACAGCUACAGUGUUCUUAGAUAUAACAAUAAAUAAAAUCUUUGGGUCAGAGUGAGUGGGGCCGACCAGAGUGAGCAGAGGUCCUGAAUUCAAUUCCCAGCAACCACAUGAUGGUUCACACCCAUCUGUACAGCUACAGUGUACUCAUAUACAUUAAAUAAAAUAAAUCUUUAAAAAAGU
Long non-coding RNA from Apodemus sylvaticus (European woodmouse), 2088 nucleotides. RefSeq lists it as uncharacterized. The record is from RefSeq and is a predicted model, not a curated record. NCBI's taxonomy places the organism in Eukaryota, Metazoa, Chordata, Mammalia, Rodentia, Muridae. The transcript has 2 exons.